This 905-nucleotide ribosomal RNA is filed under the name marine sponge bacterium plateOTU24. Its description in RNAcentral is "bacterial SSU rRNA". It matches the Rfam family "Bacterial small subunit ribosomal RNA", at positions 54 to 957 of the family's 1533-position model. The record is from RNAcentral.
CAUGCAAGUCGAGGGGUAACAUAAGUGCUUGCACUUGAUGACGACCGGCGCACGGGUGCGUAACGCGUAUAGAAUCUACCUUUUGCUGAGGAAUAGCCCAGAGAAAUUUGGAUUAAUGCCUCAUAGUAUGUUUUUAUCUCAUGAUGAUAACAUUAAAGGUUACGGCAAAAGAUGACUAUGCGUCCUAUUAGCUAGAUGGUAAGGUAACGGCUUACCAUGGCAACGAUAGGUAGGGGCCCUGAGAGGGGGAUCCCCCACACUGGUACUGAGACACGGACCAGACUCCUACGGGAGGCAGCAGUGAGGAAUAUUGGACAAUGGAGGCAACUCUGAUCCAGCCAUGCCGCGUGCAGGAAGACUGCCCUAUGGGUUGUAAACUGCUUUUAUACGGGAAGAAACACUGCUACGUGUAGCAGCUCUGACGGUACCGUAAGAAUAAGGAUCGGCUAACUCCGUGCCAGCAGCCGCGGUAAUACGGAGGAUCCAAGCGUUAUCCGGAAUCAUUGGGUUUAAAGGGUCCGUAGGUGGAUAAUUAAGUCAGAGGUGAAAGUUUGCAGCUCAACUGUAAAAUUGCCUUUGAUACUGGUUAUCUUGAAUCAUUAUGAAGUGGUUAGAAUAUGUAGUGUAGCGGUGAAAUGCAUAGAUAUUACAUAGAAUACCAAUUGCGAAGGCAGAUCACUAAUAAUGUAUUGACACUGAUGGACGAAAGCGUAGGUAGCGAACGGGAUUAGAUACCCCGGUAGUCUACGCCGUAAACGAUGGAUACUAGCUGUUCGGAACUUGUUUCUGAGUGGCUAAGCGAAAGUGAUAAGUAUCCCACCUGGGGAGUACGUUCGCAAGAAUGAAACUCAAAGGAAUUGACGGGGGCCCGCACAAGCGGUGGAGCAUGUGGUUUAAUUCGAUGA